Molecule: long non-coding RNA, 801 nt
Filed under: Nicotiana tabacum (common tobacco)
Lineage: Eukaryota; Viridiplantae; Streptophyta; Magnoliopsida; Solanales; Solanaceae
Description: long non-coding RNA (NTAB_LNC003906)
Source: RNAcentral
UAGUGUGUAUGCAGACCUUACCCCUACCUUCAAGAAGGAAGAGAGGUUGUUUCCAGAAGACCCUCGGCUUAGACACUUUGAAUCUUAAUGCAUAAAUAUUGCUUUAUUUACCGAAGUGUUUUAUCUUGAUAGAUGGGGAUCAGCACAGUGGAUUCAUCUGUAUCAGGCCUUGGGGGUUGUCCAUAUGCUAAAGGUGCCUCGGGUAAUGUGGCUACAGAGGAUGUCGUUUACAUGCUUAAUGGACUAGGAGUGAAGACAAAUGUGGAUCUGAGAAAGCUUCUAUUGGCUGGAGAUUUCAUCUGCAAACAUUUGGGUCGCCCUUCUGGUUCUAAGGCUGCCAUUGCCUUGAGUAGAACAUCUACUGCCUCAAAGCUUUAAGGGGGACAUCUGAUGUCUUUGAAUUUGUACACCGCUCCCGCUCUGAGGUGAAAAUCACUUCACACCAACUCAUACUGUACCAUAAUUUUCUUAAACAUAUCCAUGUCUAUGUGUUGUUGCCCUUCCUUUUUACUUUUCCUAAGCCGAGGGUCUACCGGAAACAGCCUCUCUAUCUUCUUGAACGUAGGGGUAGGGGUAAGGUAUGCGUACACACUACUACCCUCUUCAGACCCCACUUGUGAGAUUACACUGGGUUUGUUGUUGUUGUAUCCAUGUCGAUGUGACUGACUGGAUUGGUCUUUUGAAGGGUGAGAGUGGGAAGGAAGAGGAAGUUCUCAAUUGAGAACCAGUAGACCUGUAUAAUGCAAACUCAUUACUAUUAACAAGUUCAUUUACACUGAUACAGAGUCUAAUAAUACUUGU